Molecule: ribosomal RNA, 1242 nt
Filed under: Triticum aestivum (bread wheat)
Lineage: Eukaryota; Viridiplantae; Streptophyta; Magnoliopsida; Poales; Poaceae
Description: partial small subunit ribosomal RNA
Source: RNAcentral
AUGCCGUCGCCGGAGCCCGGAAGCAUCGCGACCCGGUGGCGCGAGCUGCAGGGCGCGGGGUCGUGGGAGGGGCUGCUGGACCCGCUGGACCGGGACCUGCGCGCCUCCAUCAUCGCCUACGGCGAGCUGGCGGAGGCCACCUACGACGGAUUCAACUCGCAGCGCCGCUCGCCCCACGCUGGCGCGUGCUUCUACGGCCAUGACGACCUGCUCGCCGCCGCCGGCGUGGUCCACGCUGGCCACUACGCCGUCACCAAGUUCAUCUAUGCGACAGGCGGGUUCUUCCUGGCGCCGACGACGGGGACGUCAGUGCCCGAUGCCUUCUUCGUGCUGCCGCUACCGUCGCUGCUGGAGGAGCCCUGGUGCCGGGAGUCCAACUGGAUGGGGUACGUGGCCGUGGCCACCGACGAGGGCGUGGCGGCGCUCGGCCGGCGCGACAUCGUCGUCGCCUGGCGCGGUACCGUGGAGAGCCUCGAGUGGGUCAACGACCUGGACUUCACGCCGGCGUGGGCCGCGCCCGUGCUCGGCUCAGCUGCUGGUGAUUUUGAUUCCGCCGUGGUGCACCACGGGUUCCUGUCGGUGUACACGUCCAGCGACGAGGACUCCAAGUUCAACCAGCAGAGCGCCAGGGAUCAGGUCAUGGAGGAGGUGCGGAGGCUGAUGGAGGCGCACAAGGAGGAGGUGACCAGCAUCACCGUCACGGGCCACAGCCUCGGUGCGUCGCUGGCGACCCUCAACGCAGUCGACAUGGUCUCCCACGGCGUUAACGUGCCGCCCUCCUCGCCACAGCAGCAGCCAUGCCCGGUGACGGCGAUCCUCUUCGCGAGCCCGCACGUAGGCGACGACAGCUUCAAAUCGGCCUUUGCUUCGUUCCCGGACCUUCGUGCGCUUCAUGUGAGGAACGCCGGCGACGUGGUGCCUCUAUACCCGCCGAUUGGGUACGUGGAUGCGGCAACAGCUGUGCUGCCCGUGGACACUGGCCGGUCACCGUACUUGAAGCAGCCGGGCACCGUGCAGACGCGCCACAACCUCGAGUGCUACCUGCACGGCGUUGCCGGGUUCCAGGGUGCUGGCGGUGGGUUCAAGCUUGAGGUGGACCGCGAUGUGGCCCUGGUGAACAAGGGUGCUGACGCGCUCAAGGAUAAGUACCCAGUGCCGCCCAACUGGCAUGUCAUCAACAACAAGUCCAUGGUGAGGGACUCCGAUGGCCACUGGAAGCUCAGAGACUUCGAGGAGACCUGA